This is a long non-coding RNA of Amphibalanus amphitrite, 5318 nucleotides long. RefSeq lists it as uncharacterized. The record is from RefSeq and is a predicted model, not a curated record. NCBI's taxonomy places the organism in Eukaryota, Metazoa, Arthropoda, Thecostraca, Balanomorpha, Balanidae. The transcript has 4 exons.
UGAUUCGUCAAUGCUGAUUGUCAGCUUGAAAGUAAAGAUGAGCAAAGUGGUUCAACUGAAUCUUAUGGUUGCAGUAGGGCAUAUUAGAAGUAAGUGACAAGUAUGUGUCAGCAAUUGUUUAUGCUUCUUAACCCUAGAUACUUUUGAUUCAAUCCUUUUGGUGAUGACGUAAUGUGGCAGAGAAACAGUAGACACACUUCAUCUCAUCGGAAACCCUGAAUGAUUGGUAUUUGUGAGCAUGUGUGCCUGUGAGUGUGUAAGGGUGGAUGUGGGUGUGUGGGUAUGUAUGUGCGUAUGUGAGGGUGUGCGUGUCAUCUUACACGUAAUUUAGUGAAUGAGUGAAUUGGUACUAGUUUUCAAGUAAAUACGUGCAUGAGUGCGUGUAGUCAGUGGUGUAUGGAACUAGCAUUGUGCCUGCCUGCUGCCAACGAAAUAUGCAAGCCCACACAGAGAAAACAGUUUUAUUGUGCAAAACUACAUGCUGCUGGCAGGGUUUACAUGCAAGUCACAUAUUGCAGGUCUACCAUAAGCAGAGCGAUGUGACAUCUGAUAAGUACCUAACUCACAGCAACACAUACUCUGCAUGUCCAGGGAAAGUGAGUUGUGCUCGGAACAGAUUGGCCAGACAGUUUUGUCCUAUCAAAUUCAGAAUUGUUUCAUCCUCCUCACAGUUGCCAUUAACAUCAUGAGCACACAUUAUUGCUAGAUCUGAAUGCCAGCUGCCUAUUGCACCGCUGGCACGUAGUUUGAGACAAAGAUGCCGCCAGUUUUCCACCUCGCUGCUGAUACAAUGCAAUACUGCUACAAAAUGUCCGUGUUCUGUGUUUUUUAGUGUUGUAUGUUUGUAUAUGAGUCUUGCGUCGUGUGAACAUUACCUACAUGAGUUAAAGUGUUCCCGCGAAAGUAGGUACUGAAUUAGCUCAAGCCAGGAUUGCGUUGCGGAUAUAUUUGUAGGCCAUACAAUGUUUUAUGGCGUCAUUUACGACAUUUCCUGUUUUUCUUGUCGUUGUAUGCACGUGAGUUGUGCCGCAUGUUGCGCUUGUAAAUCAUGUUCUCAAUGUCAUUUUCUUUUGGUACAAUUGGUCACCACUACACAUCACUCGCAUACACUCGCCCAAGCAAGUCGGAUAUCAAUCACUGUCCAGAAGUGCAUGAUGCAUUCAACCACGCAUAGAACACUGGCACACCAAGAACAUGAACUCACGCAAAAACGAGAGGGCUAUCACACGACUUCGCAUUGGACACACCGCUAUCACACACAACUACAUCAUCACAAGAAGCCCGAGACCGAAAUGCAACACCUGCAACACUUUCAUCACUGUCAAACAUCUGCUACUCACAUGCCCACAAUACCAACACCACAGGACACACAUACAAACAUACUGCAGAGACGCCAACAUCCCACUAACACUCACAACACUGCUCGGGGACUUACACCCCGAGCUAACAACACUACUCAUCCACUAAAGACACAACACUGGGCUGAUCAAUGACCUGUAAAUCUCCUCCCCUAGAGCCAAGGACAAAAAAGCCAAAAAAGCCAAAAAAAAAGAAGCAAAAAAGAAAAAACAAUAUUCAAAACAAUGAGAAUCAAAAUAAAAGACCCCAGAAUGGCAAAAUGGCAAAAAAAAAACAAAAACAAAAAAAAAUAAUAGAAGGGGCAAUCCGGCUACCCGGGAGGAGAUAGCUAGGAACCCAGUCCCACCCCUCAGCCCACCCUUACGAGCCAAGAAGACAACGGACACUUCAAGGCAACGGACGGACCAACAACGAAGACGGACGACAGAACCGGGCCCAAAUACAGGACGCUGUGGUGGCCCGUAAGCUACAAAUACCAUACCAUACCAUACCAGUGCAUCAUGCAUCAGAAUAAGCUUCAUUGAACACACUCGUCAUCAUGAACGGCAUCUAGGAGUUUCAUGAGUUUGGAUCUGUGACCAGCUGAUUUCGCAGUAUCCAAUGGCAACCGUGUAUGACCAGGCGCCGCUUGGACGCCUUGUCCAGUCACGUCUUCUGGGACUGUGUGAUGACUGCCUCUGCAUUCUCAAGUGCCAGUUUCUGCCUCCGGCCCAUUUCAUUAUCAAAGGAUGCUGUUAGCUUAACGAACAGCUCUGCUCCAAGAUUCCAAACGGUUUUACGGUACUGUAUGCCUACAAAACGUUAAUAUUUUUUGGAGGCGGUAAUACUCGGAUGAACUGACCUUUAUGGGUGGGUAUUCAACGUUGAAUAAAGUAGGCUUGUAGCCCUCUGCCUAUUGACUUCUAAGGGUUUUAGUAAUAUUUAUCGAAUAUCUCAUCUGAUAUGCAUUUUCACUCACAGUCGUCGAAAUCGAAAAAUCAUAAGCUUAGAAAUCCGCGGACUUGACAUAUUAUAUUUUAUCGACGAUUCGUUUCGACUUGCUGUCAUGUCAGCUAAUCAUCCGUUGCUUCUCCUAUUUUCACAGGUGCAUUACCUGUCAUCUUUACCGUCGAUACCGUUGAAGAUUUUACCGUCGAUCACGGAGCACCCAUUGCGCUGGCCGUUGCUGGCACUUUUUUAUUUGUCACUAGCUAUUAGUUAUCUGCAGAUAUACAUUAGCCACCUGUACACCCGCUUACACUAGCUCUCAUCAUCUAGUUCUACGUAUGUGUGUGUUUGUUUUAAUUGUAUUGCCGAUGAAUUCGGUAGACAUGCUCCGCCCGCAAACAUGUACCACAUGAUGCAGUUCACUGAAUGUAGCAGUUAAUCACUCGUAAAAAGCGGUCAUGUUUUCGUAUAGUGUAGGUAUGCAUCUAUGUAAGCAUGUGUUCACACUCAUGAGCGAUCCACACAUGAUAUUGCAUUUCCUGUUCAGUUAUAUUUUUAGCACUGGAACACGAUGCUCAUACACUGUGUUGUUAUCUUUCUUUUUUCGCCUGCUCCUUCCUCCAACUUGUGUCUUUGAGUAUUUCAGUCACAUGCUCAAACGUUCUUAAAUGCUCUCGCCAUCGGUUUACGGAUGCGUUGAAAACGGACAUGUGAUGACCAAAUUUAACAAUAUGCGGACAAUGGAUCGACUUCUUGAAGCCUGUGGACGUGAUAGACCUUCUCCAUCACCAUCAAGAGAUCAACAUUUUCGAAGACACUUGCGUACGGCUGCAGUGUCCGGCGCAAUGCUGAAUGCGACCUGUUAUCUGUUGGAUCUACUCUGUGAGCCCGAACCCCAGUGCAAUGGCACUGUUCGACUAUAGCGCUGGACGUCGUCUACUUUUUGCUAGAGGGAAAGGUCAUCAUCCGUCCAUGAACUUCGGGCUGCUCACAGCUAUAUUGCCUUGGCAAGUUCUUUGAGCACUCAAUACUGGACUUGGGCUGCGAAAGCUAAUGACAAUUUGGGGAGCUUGAUAUUGCAAUGGCUAUGACGUGAAGGCUCAAUAUGACGAACAGCUGGACUAUUCACCAUUGUCAACGCUUAUGAUAGCUAAAUAUCAUUGUGCUUGGUGUACAUUCACGUCUCGUUUCCUUGCUCCAUUUGUACCUCACCGGUCGUCCGUCCCCACAGGCCUCGGCUGCAGCACAAGCCACAUUCAUCGGCCCAAUCAUCAGUUAUUCAUCCUGCAAGUUUUAAGUCACUUCGUUGUGACCCGGACAUCGUCAUCUUUCAACGAGUUCAAAUGAUUAUUUCAUUCAUCAUCGUCGAUCAGACUCAUCAUGUAAAGACACUUCCAUAAUGCUAGCCGCCAUCUACGUUUGUGCAGGAAGCAAAUAUCAGGUUGUUAUUAGCUGCGGGCUACUCAGUACCGACUGAACUACUGGCAGUAGUGUGCGAGCACCUAAUACUUGUAUUGUGAUACCAAAGCUAAAACGGAUGAUAGCUUAGCGCAUAGGGCCCUACCGCUUUCCACACACACACACACAAACAAAACUUGACUUUGGGCAUUAGCACCAUGGCAGGAUAAACAGGCAGUUUCGCUGUUUUUCACUGCUUUCAUUGGCAGGUGUUACUGCUCAUUCCCGUUUUAUGUGAUGUUAGAACAGCCCUUCACCAUAGUCCUGUUUUCUCCUUUGCCGUUUUCCAUAGACAUCAGAUGCGACAUGCACUCCAACGAUCGGUCAGGCGCAUCACCGUCAAUCCGGUCGCCUGUUAAGCAGUUCGUAAUCACCGUCAGUCUUCGACAUCUGUCAACACACUUAUCCACAUUAUCGCCUUACUUUUGAUCUUAUCAAUAUGCAAGAAUGAGUGCAAAAUGCAUUCCAAUAUUGCAUCAGUUGAUGUUGUAUCGCAAUGACACCGCGUCCUCACCUCACAUCUGUUGUGCAUACUUGAUCACGAAUGCCAGUUAUACGCAGAUUCACAUGGUGAAGUUUUACUCCGUUGACGUUUUCUUUCCAUUCUUGUAGUCGAUCAAGAGGGAUUACAGUUGCACAUGCGGCCUUACACAUGCGUCCUUACAUGUUAGCUGAUUGAUAUGUUGGACACACUGGUUCCUGUGACUCCAAGUAGUUCUGCAUUGGUAUUGCUUCACUUUAUAUGUUCUACCCAAAGAUCGUUUCUAGUUUUGUCUUAGCUUGCAGCUGUAUGCCAUGAACAUACAGGGUACUGCGCAUCUUUACCGUGACAUUCCUGUAGUUUCGUCACUUUCGCGGAUGAUUAGGACCAUGAGCUCAGUUGCAGAUGCGUCCAGCAGCCACCGACAUUUCUACACUUUAAAUUCCUAGUCUCGGAUCUUAUCCACAUACCAACAUGAUUUGAACAUUUCACACGUUUAGUGAUGAAAUGAGCAGGUAUCAUCUACUACAUUAUAUUUUCAUGUAAAGCACACUCCAGUCUGUGAAAAAAGAAAACCAUUAGGAGCAACAAUCAUGCCUUAGACAGUAUAGUUGCCAUAGAUAUUACGUUGUGCAGCGGGCAGGCCGGUGCACGAAAUGGCGAGUGUGAAUGCAGGAAUGCGUGUGAAAAACUGCCUAGGUGUGGAGUGGCUGGUUUGUCUUCCGUUACAUCGUAACGGGCUCUUGACGUAGUCUUUUUUUAGUAACACCAAUCAUCUUUCGAACUUGAAUUAACGUAAUUGAAAGAUGGCUAUCACAUUUGGAGCCAACUUAUUUGCUAAUUGCGUCAAGGGCGGGCAGCGCGGUGCGUGGAUGCCUUUUGGUAAAGCUCACGUCCUAAUAUACUAUCCUGCCCUUACCAAGCGUGCAUCCAUGUUUCCUCCAUCCGGCUCCUCGUGCCGCUGCCUGGAAUAUUAGCCUACGGCUAAUAUACCAAGAGAUGGAAAACUUUUCGUUGGUAUGGAAUAUGGAUGCCUCGUGGUUCAACUGGUGAUGUUCAAAACAACUGUACCGUGUGUCAGGUAGGUCUUACU